GAUCAUGGCUCAGGAUGAACGCUGGCGGCGUGCUUAACACAUGCAAGUCGAGCGAGAAACUACAUGCAGACACUUCGGUAGAAGCGAGUAGCGGAAAGCGGCGGACGGGUGAGUAACGCGUAGGCAACCUGCCCUUCACAGAGGUAUAGCCUCGGGAAACCGGGAUUAAAACCACAUAAAAUCAUAGGUUCGCAUGAACCAAAGGUCAAAGAUUUAUCGGUGAAGGAUGGG
This 231-nucleotide ribosomal RNA is filed under the name uncultured bacterium. RNAcentral's name for it is "partial 16S ribosomal RNA". It matches the Rfam family "Bacterial small subunit ribosomal RNA", at positions 15 to 229 of the family's 1533-position model. The record is from RNAcentral.